This is a long non-coding RNA of Malania oleifera, 616 nucleotides long. RefSeq lists it as uncharacterized. The record is from RefSeq and is a predicted model, not a curated record. The transcript has 3 exons. NCBI's taxonomy places the organism in Eukaryota, Viridiplantae, Streptophyta, Magnoliopsida, Santalales, Ximeniaceae.
GCACCCCGGAGUACUCCAUUUUCAAUAUCCAUUGUAAACGACAAUGGGUUCGUCCAUGGCGCUCCUCAUCCUGCAUUUUUUAUCUUCUUUGCAUGCCUUGUGUUUGCCUUUCUAUUUCCAAUCAGCCUCGGGGAAGAGGUCCACCUCUAUCAUCAUCCCAUGGAUGGAUUCCUCAAGCCCAAGUGUCACGAGUUUGGGCUGUGAACUGGGUGAGGAGGAAGUUGUACCUGUUGUAAGCAGCGGAUGUAAGGAAAGCUCCAUCCUGGUUAAAGGAGCAGGGAUUUAGUGGAAUCUUUGAGUGAGUUGCUCAAGGGGAGGAAGUAGUACAGGAACAAUAUUUAGUAUGCGCGGAAGGCUAACAAGUCAUGGAAGCCAUGAAGAUUAAAGUAUACACAUCUUGGCACAAUCCAUGGAACUAAAAAAGUAGAAGAAUAAAGAUGCAAGUGACAAGUUCAAGAUCGUCAUGGGAAUGGGUAUUUAGAACUGAAUGUAUUCACAAGUGAAUACGAAGCAUUCAAAAUGAAUUCUGAUUAAACGAUAUCAAGCAUGUACACUAGAUUUACCCACAUAAUAAACUCUUUAAGUGCCUUAGGAAAAACCUAUACUACAUAUGAAA